RNAcentral lists this long non-coding RNA (1373 nucleotides) under Salmo salar (Atlantic salmon). RNAcentral's name for it is "lncRNA (ENSSSAG00000099946.1, ENSSSAG00020074002.1)". Lineage: Eukaryota; Metazoa; Chordata; Actinopteri; Salmoniformes; Salmonidae. The record is from RNAcentral.
AUGAAAAUGGACAAACAAAAGGGUGUGCAAUGUGUAGGCCCACUGAGUGUAUAUUCUGAACCUUGUUUGAAGUCAGUAGGUCACAUGACCAAGGAGCUGUUAAAAGUUGGAAAAAUUCAUGUAAAAACAUGUGAGAUGAAAAUGGACAAACAAAAGGGUGUUUAAUGUAUAGGCCCAAUGAGUGUACAUUCUGAACCUUGUUUGAAGUCAGUAGAUCCCAUGAUCAAGGAGCGAUUGAAAUUCAAAUGUAAAACAAGUUUGUACUUUGUUUAUGCUCCCUAACUAUUUCAACUAGGAAUACAAAAGGCUGCUCUCAUUUCCACAUGUUUAUUAGCUUUGUAAAGCAAAUUAAUAUCCCAAUCGUGAAAAUGAGACGUGCAAUUUCUCCAACAUCAUGACACUUAUUUGGAGUCUGUGGCUCAAGUGUUUUGAAAGCUAUUGAGGUUUGAAAGCGCGAAUAUCUGUUGAAUAUCCAACCUGAAACUGUCUUUACCUUGGUCGAAGAUUGUUGUUAAUAAAGUAGUGAAUUGGGGGCAUAAACAGUGUGCGGGCCUUCCUUACCCCAGCACCUAAGUUAAGGAUGUGCGUAUGACCACAAACUUUUCUAUAAAUACACACUUAACAUCUAAAGUCUUUAAUGCACACAAUAUUAUGACACUUACACUGUCAACAAGAACAUAGACUCCCAGUAGGUUAGUUGGGAUGCAAAGUAAAGGUGUACAGACAAAAUUACAAACUGUUGAACAGCUUUUCUACUGGUGGUCUACUAAUCUACUGUACACCGACGGUUAAACAAGCUGAAAUGUCAGCUGUGCCCAAAAUAGAAAGAUAUCCCAUGUGUUCCAGUUAACCUAGUCAUUUAUGAAAACGACCGCUGACCCACAUUGAGGCAACAAAUAUAAAAAAUCUUAUGAGAUUAAAAUAUUCCCUCUUCUAAACUAACAUAUAUUGUUAAAAUCAACAUUAAUCAAAGUAUUAACUCAUUUGAUUCCUAAGAUUUGGAACCAGAAGUAUACUCCCCUUUUUUUUUACACUGCCAUUCAGCAAGAUGAUCUCUCAUGCUUAAGAGAUGUGUUAAAUCUUUCCACAAAAAAAUAUUCAAAAUGUAAAUACAAAAUAUAACCUACUACUCACAUUUUAGCAGCUGAUAACCGUCCCUCCUUCUGAGUCUGUCCACCAAUCUGUCUGUUCCAUGCCCCGUUCACUUGCAGCAGGCUGUACUCUGUUUGUUGGCUCUUGUCACUAUCAGAGUUUUCAUGUGAUUGCAUGACCUGAGUAUUUACUGAGUGGGAUACAGUUGGUUCUGUCAUUUUGGAAGGAUAUGCAGUGCGUCCCAAUUCUCUACCUUUCUCCUGUAGUGUGCACUCGGUCAC